AUAGAGAGACUCUUCAAUUAAAGAAGUCCACCAUUCUCACAACACAGUUGCCUUCUCACACCUGCUUCUCAUAAGACAACAUUGACUGCGCUCGCUGCCGUUGUCACUCCACCGUUGUCUGUUGCCGACAAGAAUCUUCGAUUACUCUCCGGUCUUCUUCUUCCCUGAGGUAUGGAUAAGUCUUGGAUUUCAAAGCUACAUACCACACCUGGAUAUGAAAUUGGAUUAGAUAUAUUCUUAGAUUUUUCUUUUAAGAAUGUGGCUGUUGGAGAUACAAUACGAUGUCCAUGCCCGAUGUGUAGGUUUUUGAAACCGCAAACUAGAAGUGUAGUUAGGGAUCACUUACUAUGCAAACCAUUUCCUAAGAACUAUGUCGUAUGGACCCUUCACGGUGAGAUAAAACUUCCAGAGUCUUCUAGAAAUGAAGACUUUGUGCAAGAUAAGUUUCAAUCGGAUAAUAUGAUGGAAACAAUGCUCAAUGAUGCAUUUGGUAACUAUAGGCAAGAUGCUGCUAAUUUAAAUGAAUCAGACCCGAUAGCCUUAGAGGACAUACCUAAUGAAGGGACAAGAGUUGAUAGCGGUGAUUUUCGUGAGUUUCUCAACGAUGGAAGCCAGAUAUUGCAAGAAGGAAGCAAGUACACAAAACUUGAAUUUAUAAUCAAAUUAUAUCAUAUAAAGGUAUUGUGUGGAUUAAGUGACAAAGCAAUUACUAUGAUAUUGGAUUUGUUGUGAGACGCAUUUCAACAAGCAAAGUUACCUCAUUCGUUUUACGAGGCAAAGAAAGCCAUCAAUAAACUUGGUCUUAAUUAUACAAAGAUAGAUGCAUGUUCAAAUGAUUGUAUGUUGUUCUUGGGAGAUGACGAAAAAAGAACUACAAGAAUGCAAGCAUUGUGGAGAAUCUCGAUGGAAUCCUAAGAAGAAGAAGAAGCAAGUUGCAAAGGUGUUACGUUACUUUCCAUUAAAAACAAGAUUGCAAAGAUUGUUCAUGUGUUCUAAGGCAGCAGAGUAUAUGAGAUGGCAUGCUUUGGGCAAUAACAAUGAUGGACUAUUAAGACAUCCAAUGGAUGGUGAAGCAUGGAAGAACUUUAAUUUAAUUCAUCCUGAGUUUGCCUCAGAUCAUCGAAAUGUUCGCUUGGGACUUUAAUUUAAUUCAUUUUUUAUAGGAGCGUUGUCCCAAAAAUAGAGAAAAUUGUAGCAAGCAAGUGAUUCCUCAUACCGGUGGUUCUAAACCUCUUUCGAGAAAAAGACAUGAGAUGUUUUUGGAAACCGGACAACAACCUAGUCGUGGAAAAUUAUACAUUGAAACCCAUAAAAAAAAGACGGGUCAUUUGUAAAUGAUGCAGCAAAGAAUAUUGUGGAGCAAAUUGAAGUGGGUUUGACACAAAGCAAUAUUGAUGAAUCUCAAAUAUCUCCUAAUGAUGUUGUCGGUAGAGUCUUUGGGCCUGAGCAUUCUGGAAGAGUGAGAAGUAUGGGUAUGGGUGCAGCUCCUACUAAUCUACUAUCUACCCAAUACUAAGAAAUUGCCCAAACUGUCCAUUUUGCCCUUCUCUUAUAAUUUCUUUACCCAUACAAAAGGUUAUUCAUGUAAUUAACAAAAUAAAAAAACACAACAUGCCAAAUGUUGUGUUCUCAUUGGUCAGUUUUUCUACUCCCCACAUUUGUUUCUCUUUCUUCUUUCUUUUGUUGACAGAACCUUUCUCUUUCUCUCUUCCAUUUUCUCCCUUCUCCUCUCUCUUUUCCAUUAAACCCUAACACGGUUGUCGCCUCUUCUUCCUCCUCACUUUCGCUCUCUCUCCUUGUCUUCUCUUCUUUCUAUUUUUCAUGAAACCCUAAUCUGUCGCGAGUCACAAAAAUUCAAGCAAAGAAAGAAUCGAAGAAGAGAACAAGAAAUUCCAUUAGGGUUAUAUAACCAGAGAUCCAGCAAGUGAUGCACAUCCAAAAUUCCAAGAACCAAUCACCAUCUUUAUCAUACAAAAACCUGGAAAACCCAGAAUUCCAUAAACACCUUUCAAGAUUCUUAUACUUUACCCAGAAACUCUUAAGAUCCUCAAAUAAAAAUUAUAGUUCUUCGUAUUUUCCAGAUCUUCAUCCUAUUUCCAUAUCUUCAUCGCAACAAACCCAUAUUAGUGUUUGUAUUAUUUUUUAUUAACUUAUUUAAAUCUAUACUAUAUAUUAUACAUGUUUUUUUUUCACUAUUUUCCUUUUUAAUAGUUGUCUUAGCUAUUUCAGGUUGAUAGGUUUGUUACUAAAGGUAUGUUUCUCACUGUUUAUAAAAGAGUGUUUGAUGCUUAAUAAUUUAUAGGUUUAAUGUAGAAACAUUGAAUUUGGAUUUAGAGAUUUUAAUGAUUUUUCAAUUAAUUUUUCUUACCCGUUUCAAAUGUAAUCGAUAGUCUUACUGUUGCUAGCUUUUGAAUUUAAAUUUUAAAUUUCUAACCUUUCUCUCUUUCUCUAUAUAUUAUAUUUCAUAUGUUACAAAUCUCCAUUCAUGAGUUGGUUUUGUUUACUCCAUAUUUUCAAGUUUAGUGGAGAGCUGGAUGAUAUGAAGUUAGAAAGCAUUGCUAUGUGAAAUGGGUUGGAUGCUUCAGCACCUCACUUUAUUCUAUAUUUGAGUGUAACGACACUAUCUUAUCAUAUUUGCUCAAAGGCCUGAAACUAAAAUUUGAAGUAUAGUUGCUCAGAGGCUGGAUGAAUUGCUACAUGGUUUAAACAGUUGAGACGAUAGAAAUAGAGGAAGGAAAAGUUGCUCCAUUUGUCAAGUCGAAUCCUAUCCCUGAGACUAAUAACGAACCAGUUAAGGUGGUAGUUGGGGAAACUCUUCAGGAAAUAGUUUUCUACUCUAGAAAGAAUGGGGCAAGAGGAGCUUCAUGCUGCAAGUUUGCAAGAACAUGAAGAGUUCACAGAGUUAUUAGACAUAUGCUGCAAAAACAUGAAGCAAUUAAUAAAACCAGUAUAUGAUACAAUACACAAGGAAGCUAAAAGGGGUAAUGAAGGAAAGGCAAAGCAUUCACUCAACUUUUUUGGUAUUAAAUAAAUUUUUUUGGUAUUAUGCUUCCUUUUUUUCCUUAUAAAGGUCAAAGGUGGAUGGGUAAAGUUAGUUUUGUUGAGAUCCGCUCAUUUUGGCAUGUAUUUAGAAGUUUUGAAAGAAUGUGGAGCUUUUAUAUGCUAUGUUUGACAGCCUCUCAUCACUUCAUUCUGCAUCAAUUAUGUUUGACAAACUGAACUGAUUAUGUUCUUUUAUUAAG
Molecule: long non-coding RNA, 3242 nt
Organism: Vicia villosa (hairy vetch)
Lineage: Eukaryota; Viridiplantae; Streptophyta; Magnoliopsida; Fabales; Fabaceae
Exons: 8
Source: RefSeq, a predicted model, not a curated record